Molecule: ribosomal RNA, 512 nt
Filed under: uncultured bacterium
Lineage: Bacteria
Description: bacterial SSU rRNA
Rfam family: Bacterial small subunit ribosomal RNA
Source: RNAcentral
UAGUCCACGCCGUAAACGAUGAAAACUAGCUGUUUGGUGGCGACGACCGCUGAGUAGCGCAGCUAACGCGAUAAGUUUUCCGCCUGGGGAUUACGGCCGCAAGGCUAAAACUUAAAGGAAUUGACGGGGGCCCGCACAAGCGGUGGAACAUGUGGUUUAAUUCGAUGCAACGCGAAGAACCUUACCUACUUUUGACUUCCUCGAAAGCUGUUAGAGAUAGCAGUGUGCCUGAAAGGGAAUCGAGUGACAGGUGCUGCAUGGCUGUCGUCAGCUCGUGUCGUGAGAUGUUGGGUUAAGUCCCGUAACGAGCGCAACCCCUGUCCUUAGUUGCCAGCACAUUAUGGUGGGCACUCUAAGGAGACUGCCGGUGAUAAACCGGAGGAAGGUGGGGAUGACGUCAAGUCAUCAUGGCCUUUAUAAGUAGGGCUACACACGUGUUACAAUGGGUAUUACAGAGGGCUGCUAAACUGUGAAGUGGCGCAAAUCUCAGAAAAGUACUCGUAGUCCGGAUU